UACAGAGGUCCCAAGCGUUGUUCGGAUUCACUGGGCGUAAAGGGUGCGUAGGCGGCGCGGUAAGUCGGGUGUGAAAUCUCGGAGCUUAACUCCGAAACUGCAUUCGAUACUGCCGUGCUUGAGGACUGGAGAGGAGACUGGAAUUUACGGUGUAGCGGUGAAAUGCGUAGAUAUCGUAAGGAAGACCAGUGGCGAAGGCGGGUCUCUGGACAGUUCCUGACGCUGAGGCGCGAAAGCCAGGGGAGCAAACGGG
RNAcentral lists this ribosomal RNA (253 nucleotides) under uncultured bacterium. Its description in RNAcentral is "partial 16S ribosomal RNA". It matches the Rfam family "Bacterial small subunit ribosomal RNA", at positions 524 to 776 of the family's 1533-position model. The record is from RNAcentral.